GAUGAACGCUGGCGGCGUGCUUAACACAUGCAAGUCGAACGAAGCACUCUAUUUGAUUUUCUUCGGAAAUGAAGAUUUUGUGACUGAGUGGCGGACGGGUGAGUAACGCGUGGGUAACCUGCCUCAUACAGGGGGAUAACAGUUGGAAACGACUGCUAAUACCGCAUAAGCGCACAGGAUCGCAUGAUCCGGUGUGAAAAACUCCGGUGGUAUGAGAUGGACCCGCGUCUGAUUAGCCAGUUGGCAGGGUAACGGCCUACCAAAGCGACGAUCAGUAGCCGACCUGAGAGGGUGACCGGCCACAUUGGGACUGAGACACGGCCCAAACUCCUACGGGAGGCAGCAGUGGGGAAUAUUGCACAAUGGGGGAAACCCUGAUGCAGCGACGCCGCGUGAGCGAAGAAGUAUUUCGGUAUGUAAAGCUCUAUCAGCAGGGAAGAAGAAUGACGGUACCUGACUAAGAAGCACCGGCUAAAUACGUGCCAGCAGCCGCGGUAAUACGUAUGGUGCAAGCGUUAUCCGGAUUUACUGGGUGUAAAGGGAGCGCAGGCGGUGCGGCAAGUCUGAUGUGAAAGCCCGGGGCUCAACCCCGGUACUGCAUUGGAAACUGUCGUACUAGAGUGUCGGAGGGGUAAGUGGAAUUCCUAGUGUAGCGGUGAAAUGCGUAGAUAUUAGGAGGAACACCAGUGGCGAAGGCGGCUUACUGGACGAUAACUGACGCUGAGGCUCGAAAGCGUGGGGAGCAAACAGGAUGAGAUACCCUGGUAGUCCACGCCGUAAACG
RNAcentral lists this ribosomal RNA (783 nucleotides) under uncultured bacterium. Its description in RNAcentral is "bacterial SSU rRNA". It matches the Rfam family "Bacterial small subunit ribosomal RNA", at positions 28 to 808 of the family's 1533-position model. The record is from RNAcentral.